This 497-nucleotide ribosomal RNA is filed under the name uncultured bacterium. RNAcentral describes it as "bacterial LSU rRNA". It matches the Rfam family "Bacterial large subunit ribosomal RNA", at positions 1425 to 2026 of the family's 2925-position model. The record is from RNAcentral.
UCAGGUUAAUAUUCCUGAGCUGUCGUCGGGAACGGAUCUCUGAGCUCCGCGGGACUGUCAGAUGUCCAGGCCCUAGUGGCCGAUGCGGGGGGAUGGGGUUCCUAGAAAAGCCGACGACGAACCCGUACCAAAACUGACACAGGUGGGUGAGGCGAAUAGCCUAAGGCGCUCGAGAGAACGGUCGUGAAGGAACUAGGCAAGUUAACCCCGUAACUUCGGGAUAAGGGGGGCCUACCCGUAAGGGAGGCCGCAGAGAAAAGGGUCUGGGAACUGUUUAUCAAAAACACAGCUCUGUGCCAAGACGGAAGUCGAUGUAUACAGAGUGACGCUUGCCCAAUACCGGAAUGUCAAGGGAGCGGGUCAGCGAAAGCGAAGCUCGUCACCGAAGCACCGGAGAAUGGCGGCCGUAACUAUGACGGUCCUAAGGUAGCGAAGUUCCUUGUCGGGUAAGUUCCGACGCGCAUGAAUAGCGUAAUCACUGGACUCCUGUCUCCACG